RNAcentral lists this unclassified non-coding RNA (253 nucleotides) under uncultured Sphingomonadaceae bacterium. Its description in RNAcentral is "contains 16S-23S intergenic spacer region". It matches the Rfam family "Bacterial small subunit ribosomal RNA", at positions 524 to 776 of the family's 1533-position model. The record is from RNAcentral. Lineage: Bacteria; Pseudomonadati; Pseudomonadota; Alphaproteobacteria; Sphingomonadales; Sphingomonadaceae.
AACGGAGGGAGCUAGCGUUGUUCGGAAUUACUGGGCGUAAAGCGCGCGUAGGCGGCGACACAAGUCAGAGGUGAAAGCCCGGGGCUCAACCCCGGAACUGCCUUUGAAACUAGGUUGCUAGAAUCUUGGAGAGGUCAGUGGAAUUCCGAGUGUAGAGGUGAAAUUCGUAGAUAUUCGGAAGAACACCAGUGGCGAAGGCGACUGACUGGACAAGUAUUGACGCUGAGGUGCGAAAGCGUGGGGAGCAAACAGG